GACGAACCGUGCGAACGUUGUUCGGAUUCACUGGGCUUAAAGGGCGCGUAGGCGGGCGACCAAGUCCGGGGUGAAAUCUUUCGGCUCAACCGGAAGAGUGCCUUGGAUACUGGUCGCCUCGAGGGAGGUAGGGGCAUGCGGAACUUCCGGUGGAGCGGUGAAAUGCGUAGAUAUCGGGAGGAACACCUGUGGCGAAAGCGGCGCACUGGACCACAACUGACGCUGAGGCGCGAAAGCUAGGGGAGCAAACAGG
This 253-nucleotide ribosomal RNA is filed under the name uncultured bacterium. RNAcentral's name for it is "partial 16S ribosomal RNA". It matches the Rfam family "Bacterial small subunit ribosomal RNA", at positions 524 to 776 of the family's 1533-position model. The record is from RNAcentral.